UUCUUUCGUAACAGUUUCUAAAUCUUAGCUUCUCUUCCCUCAUAAACAAAAAACCUAGAUCUGAAACCAAUUUUGAUUCCUUGUUCUUCUUAUACCGCAAAACAGUUUUGUGAACUCAAUAACAAGAAAGCCAACCUUAAUUGAAAUAAAAUUAGGUUUAAGUUUUUCAUUUUGAUUUUGACGUAAAUCAAAAAAUGGUGAAGAAGCAAGAGAAAAAGAAAGAUGAAAAGAUGAAGAAAAAUCUUAAGAAAACGGUCAAACAAUCUCCAAAAGGUAAAUCGAAACCUAAUUUUGUUUUACUAUUCUUCGUUGUUUCAUUGUUCUUCUGUGAUGGUUGAAAAUCAACAUGCAUGUUUAACCUGUGAUUUUUGGUUUCACAAAUUUUAGUUUCGUCACCGAUUUUGCAUAAAAUAGCUUUCAUCAGUGGUUUCAUAAUUAGGUUUCUGUUAGUGUCAUAAUUAGGUUUCAUUCCCUUCAAUAUUGUUACUUUCGUAAUUGAUUUUCUGUUAGUUUCAUAAUCGAUUUUCAUCAAUGGUUUCUUUGGUGAAACCAAAAUUAGUUUUCAUCAUUUUCAUAUAUGAUUCACUUUACUGUGUUGGUGAUUUUCAUCAAUGGUUUCUUCGAUGAAACCAAAAUUGGUAUCAUCAUUUUCAUCUAUGAUUCGCUUUACUGUGUUGGUGAUUUUCAUCAUUGGUUUCUUCGAUGAAACCAAAAUUUACAUCAAUGGUUUUUUUUUGUGGAACCCAAAAUUGGUUUCAUCAUUUUCAUAUGUGAUCGCUUAACUUUGUUGGUGAUUUUGUUCAAUGGUUUUGUAGAUGCAACCAAAAUUAGUUUUAUCAUUUUUGUUUUAUUAUUCGCUUAUGGUUAACUUUUGGUUUCACAACAAGGAAAAAAAGAGAAACAGAGCCGUAUAGGUGUUGUUGCAUUAUUUGUGUGCGCUAGCACCUGAGAUAAAAGCUUUGAUACACAACAAAAAACUGAAUAUGAAGGCUCUGGUUUCAUGUCCAUUUUGGUGUUUCUUCAAGUCGCUCUAUGAUGGUAUAUCCAAUUAAGAGUCGUAUGCUGGAAGCUGCUGCAAAUGAAACCAAGGCUGAUGACUUCGUCAAGUUAUUCUUUUUCUACCUUUUGGUUUGUGUAUUCGUCCCCAACAAAGGUGGGUAAACUCUAGCUGCAAAGUACUUGUACUUGGUAUUUGAGAUGAAUAAGGUGUGUUGGACGGACGUGUUUCAUGAGUAUCUAAUUGAGUGGAUAAUAACAUCCAAAGACGUUGAAAAUGUAGUGGGUUGUAUCAUUUAGCUGCUGUAUUAGUUGGCAGAGAUGUCUUACAUCGCAGAACAAAAGGAUGGGACAUGUAUCCAAGGUUUACUAGAUGGAACCUUGGUGGAAUAUGCUACCAAAUAUUGGAUAAAUUCGAGGAGCUUAGAGAACACCCAGGAAUUUAAUUAAAGAUGAAUAUCGGUCGCUGCAAGGGUUCAUUCAUGCUGACAAACAAGAAAUGCGCUUGGUCGAGCGCAUAGAAUAAAAAGAUAUUGUUGUUGAAGAAGUGUCGGUUGGUGAUGUUGAAAAUGUUGGUCGUGGCAGUGAAGUGCCUGGACAAAAAUGAAGUCAAUGUUGGUGCUGGCAGUGAAGUGCGUGGACAAAAUGAAGACAAUGUUGGUGCUAUCGGUGAAGUGAACUCUUAUAAAGACAAAUAUCAAUGGGCACAAAAUCUGAUUGAAAAGCUUAGGACCACUGGUAAAAAAUGUGCUUUCUGAAGAAGAAGAAUCUUCGCUGGAAAUAAUACUCGCAUGUGGUGCCCAAUUUAUUAAUUUUUUACAGUUUUUCUUGCAGAUUCAGUUUUACUUGAAGAUAAUCUUUGACAUCAUAAAAGAUAAUGUUUGCUAAGAAGAAUCAUUGCUGGCAAUAAUACUCGUAGUAGCUACUGUGUGUAAAAUGGUUAUCUACUGAUUGUAAUGGUGACAAAUUACAGUUUAUAUAAAAAGAUAUCAGUUGUAGUCCCCUAAAA
Long non-coding RNA from Papaver somniferum (opium poppy), 2005 nucleotides. RefSeq lists it as uncharacterized. The record is from RefSeq and is a predicted model, not a curated record. The transcript is spliced from 3 exons. Lineage: Eukaryota; Viridiplantae; Streptophyta; Magnoliopsida; Ranunculales; Papaveraceae.